Molecule: ribosomal RNA, 135 nt
Filed under: uncultured Clostridium sp.
Lineage: Bacteria; Bacillati; Bacillota; Clostridia; Eubacteriales; Clostridiaceae
Also listed under: 2 other names
Description: partial 16S ribosomal RNA
Rfam family: Bacterial small subunit ribosomal RNA
Source: RNAcentral
UGGGGAAUAUUGCACAAUGGGGGAAACCCUGAUGCAGCAACGCCGCGUGAGUGAUGACGGCCUUCGGGUUGUAAAGCUCUGUCUUCAGGGACGAUAAUGACGGUACCUGAGGAGGAAGCCACGGCUAACUACGUG